ACUCAAAGGAAUUGACGGGGGCCCGCACAAGCGGUGGAGCAUGUGGUUCAAUUCGACGCAACGCGAAGAACCUUACCUGGGCUCGAACGGUCGGUUAACGGUGGUGGAAACACUGCUAUCCCGCAAGGGAGUCCGAUCGAGGUGCUGCAUGGCUGUCGUCAGCUCGUGUCGUGAGAUGUUGGGUUAAGUCCCGCAACGAGCGCAACCCUUGUCCUGUGUUGCUAUUCCGCAAGGAAGGACUCGCAGGAGACCGCCAGCGAUAAGUUGGAGGAAGGUGGGGAUGACGUCAAGUCCUCAUGGCCUUUAUGUCCAGGGCUACACACGUGCUACAAUGGCCGGUACAAAGCGCAGCUAAGUCGCGAGACGGAGCCAAUCGCAAAAAACCGGUCUCAGUUCGGAUUGCAGGCUGCAACUCGCCUGCAUGAAGCUGGAAUCGCUAGUAAUGGCGUAUCAGAACGAUGCCGUGAAUACGUUCCCGGGCCUUGUACACACCGCCCGU
Molecule: ribosomal RNA, 499 nt
Filed under: uncultured bacterium
Lineage: Bacteria
Description: partial 16S ribosomal RNA
Rfam family: Bacterial small subunit ribosomal RNA
Source: RNAcentral